This 133-nucleotide ribosomal RNA is filed under the name Aeromonas hydrophila. RNAcentral's name for it is "partial 16S ribosomal RNA". It matches the Rfam family "Bacterial small subunit ribosomal RNA", at positions 1 to 122 of the family's 1533-position model. Lineage: Bacteria; Pseudomonadati; Pseudomonadota; Gammaproteobacteria; Aeromonadales; Aeromonadaceae. The record is from RNAcentral.
UUAAAUUGAAGAGUUUGAUCAUGGCUCAGAUUGAACGCUGGCGGCAGGCCUAACACAUGCAAGUCGAGCGGCAGCGGGAAAGUAGCUUGCUACUUUUGCCGGCGAGCGGCGGACGGGUGAGUAAUGCCUGGGG